Non-coding RNA from Anolis sagrei ordinatus, 305 nucleotides. Lineage: Eukaryota; Metazoa; Chordata; Lepidosauria; Squamata; Anolidae. The record is from RefSeq and is a predicted model, not a curated record.
GAUCCUGGACGGGCAGCUGAAGGUCCACUUGGUCCUGGACGACCCCGCAGGGAACAGCUACCUCCAGAACGUUUACGCUCCCGAGGAAGACCCCGAGAUGGCCGUGGAGCGCUACGAGCGGAGCUUUGAGCAGAACGAGGAGUUGGGCCUGAACGACAUGAAGACGGAGGGCUACGCGGAAGAGGCCCCUCCCCAGCGGUAGCAGCACCCUCUUCACGGCCAGCGGAGGGACUCCUCUUCGGAGGUGGACAUUUGCCCCCUGCAAGCCUGCCCAUGCAUUAAAGCUCAGUGAGGGCUCGGUUGGA